This 407-nucleotide unclassified non-coding RNA is filed under the name Hevea brasiliensis (rubber tree). Lineage: Eukaryota; Viridiplantae; Streptophyta; Magnoliopsida; Malpighiales; Euphorbiaceae. The record is from RNAcentral.
UCGCUGGCCCCCGCAUUUGGAUAUAAGAGAAAGUUCGGCUUUGAGUUGAUCUCGCUGGCAGAGGUUGAAACUAAGAGAGCUGUAUGGGAGAACAACUCUCAUUUAUAUAUGUGUGAGUAUGGAUGUGACACACGGGUGUGUGAGUGCUCCAAAUUGCUUUUGAUGUGAUUAUGACUUGAUCUGUUUGAAUUAUGUGAAGGUGUUGCAUUCAUUUUUAGGGAUGCACUAGACUUAGGUAGUUAUAGAAAUUGUAUGUAAAAUCAAUAUCUUACUCAAUGAGUCAAACGUUCACUCUUGCUCACCUUAAUUUUUUCAGGUUAUAAGAGAGUUUAUUCUUGUGUUUAACCUGCUUUAUUCCUCGCAGAUCCAUUAGUUACUAUUUUCAUAUUUUGUAUUGUUAAAUUUGA